AGUGAACGCUGGCGGUAGGCCUAACACAUGCAAGUCGAACGGCAGCACAGUAAGAGCUUGCUCUUACGGGUGGCGAGUGGCGGACGGGUGAGGAAUACAUCGGAAUCUACUUUUUCGUGGGGGAUAACGUAGGGAAACUUACGCUAAUACCUCAUACGACCUACGGGUGAAAGCAGGGGAUCUUCGGACCUUGCGCGAUUGAAUGAGCCGAUGUCGGAUUAGCUAGUUGGCGGGGUAAAGGCCCACCAAGGCGACGAUCCGUAGCUGGUAUGAGAGGAUGAUCAGCCACACUGGAACUGAGACACGGUCCAGACUCCUACGGGAGGCAGCAGUGGGGAAUAUUGGACAAUGGGCGCAAGCCUGAUCCAGCCAUACCGCGUGGGUGAAGAAGGCCUUCGGGUUGUAAAGCCCUUUUGUUGGGAAAGAAAAGCAGCAGGUUAAUACCCCGCUGUUCUGACGGUACCCAAAGAAUAAGCACCGGCUAACUUCGUG
RNAcentral lists this ribosomal RNA (492 nucleotides) under uncultured bacterium. RNAcentral describes it as "partial 16S ribosomal RNA". It matches the Rfam family "Bacterial small subunit ribosomal RNA", at positions 29 to 507 of the family's 1533-position model. The record is from RNAcentral.